Molecule: unclassified non-coding RNA, 338 nt
Filed under: uncultured fungus
Lineage: Eukaryota; Fungi
Description: partial contains small subunit ribosomal RNA, internal transcribed spacer 1, and 5.8S ribosomal RNA
Rfam family: Eukaryotic small subunit ribosomal RNA (bases 1-73)
Source: RNAcentral
UCAAACUUGGUCAUUUAGAGGAAGUAAAAGUCGUAACAAGGUUUUCGUAGGUGAACCUGCGGAAGGAUCAUUACUGAAGUCUGGGGGAGUGCUGGCCUUGUUGGGCAUGUGCACCCCCUUCCCUUCAUCCACAUACACCUGUGCACCUCUCGAGGCGGGCCCUUCCGUGCCCGGAGCCGGCUCAUGGGCUUUGCAUGCCUGUGGGCCUGAGGGCCCGCCUACAACCUUUUUCACAAACACUUUGUAUGACGUGGAAAGUAGUCGCGGCGUUGCCGCAAAACCAAUGUACAACUUUCAACAACGGAUCUCUUGGUUCUCGCAUCGAUGAAGAACGCAGC